Crotalus tigris (Tiger rattlesnake) is the source of this 611-nucleotide long non-coding RNA. RefSeq lists it as uncharacterized. The record is from RefSeq and is a predicted model, not a curated record. The transcript has 3 exons. Lineage: Eukaryota; Metazoa; Chordata; Lepidosauria; Squamata; Viperidae.
GGAGGAGCUCCGCCCAGAAAGCUUUUCAGCUCCUCGGAGAACACUAGAUAGAAAAUGUGAGCAGAACCAUAGAUGCUACAGUGCAAUUGGCGGCCCGCAGGCCAGAUGCGUCACGUCCAGGCCACGCCCACCCUGGCUCUGGAAAGUGGUCCUCUCUGUCCAGAAUGUAAACUUUGAUGUCCUCAAAGGGAGAGAGAUACAACGCCACCGAUCUCCUGUUUACAAUGCAAUUCUUUCAGCAAUCCCAAGAAGGUUCCACACCCAAUUGCACUCUGAUUCAGGUGACUCUGAGGAUACGGAUAAAGCCCCAAAUGGCCUCAAUGACUUUUCAGAGAGCUAAAAACUGACCUUCAAAGUGCUAAUGACUGCAAAGAAUAUAAAUAAUUCCAUUCCCCACUAGUCAGUUAGAACUGAAGAAGUUUCUUGGACGAGAAGCAAAAUGUUUUUAAAGGAAAAAAAAACCCCAAGAAAAUCCAGUUGCCUUGGAAAAAGCACCUUUGAGACUACCUGUGUGUACCAUCAAGACAGCAUUUUCAGCAGUGAAUAUAACCAUAGUGCAAUGGUUUGUGAGAAUGUUCUUGAAAGAAGGGAGGAGUCACAAACUAGGCAAC